UACGAGGGGGGCGAGCGUUGUCCGGAAUUACUGGGCGUAAAGCGCGUGUAGGUGGUGGGACAAGUCUGCUGUGAAAGCCCGCUGCUUAACGGCGGGUUGGCUUCCGGUACGGGCAUCGCUGGAGUGCGGCAGGGGAGACUGGAAUUCCUGGUGUAGCGGUGGAAUGCGCAGAUAUCAGGAGGAACACCGGUGGCGAAGGCGGGUCUCUGGGCCGUUACUGACGCUGAGGAGCGAAAGCGUGGGGAGCGAACAGG
Molecule: ribosomal RNA, 254 nt
Filed under: uncultured bacterium
Lineage: Bacteria
Description: partial 16S ribosomal RNA
Rfam family: Bacterial small subunit ribosomal RNA
Source: RNAcentral